GACACCACUGGCCCCUCUUCUCCUUUGGAUUCUUCCGGAGGGGUCGCGGCGGCGGACUCUGAGUGUUCCGGAGUUCCCAUGCUCCGAGUGCACCUAAUCUCGUGAACGAAGCCUCUCGCGCCCUGCCGCACAGAGUUGUUGACGGCGCUCGCUUCGGCGGCGACUCUCGACUCACCAAACGUGCGCAGGCUGCCUGCCUCAUUCCGGCGCUCCCGACGACGACGACGCCGCCGACCCCGUCAAAAAGGGUCUGCAGAUAGAUGUCGUUGGGAAACCGUACCACUUUCG
This 288-nucleotide unclassified non-coding RNA is filed under the name Saccharina sculpera. Its description in RNAcentral is "ITS2". Lineage: Eukaryota; Phaeophyceae; Laminariales; Laminariaceae. The record is from RNAcentral.